AGGAUGAACGCUGGCGGCGUGCUUAACACAUGCAAGUCGAACGAUGAAGGCUGGAGCUUGCUCUGGCUGGAUUAGUGGCGAACGGGUGAGUAACACGUGAGUAACCUGCCCCAGACUCUGGGAUAAGCGCUGGAAACGGCGUCUAAUACCGGAUACGAGCUUCCACCGCAUGGUGAGGAGCUGGAAAGAAUUUCGGUCUGGGAUGGACUCGCGGCCUAUCAGCUUGUGGUGAGGUAAUGGCUCACCAAGGCGACGACGGGUA
RNAcentral lists this ribosomal RNA (262 nucleotides) under uncultured soil bacterium. RNAcentral describes it as "partial 16S ribosomal RNA". It matches the Rfam family "Bacterial small subunit ribosomal RNA", at positions 26 to 285 of the family's 1533-position model. The record is from RNAcentral.